Long non-coding RNA from Oreochromis niloticus (Nile tilapia), 1018 nucleotides. RefSeq lists it as uncharacterized. The record is from RefSeq and is a predicted model, not a curated record. Lineage: Eukaryota; Metazoa; Chordata; Actinopteri; Cichliformes; Cichlidae. The transcript has 2 exons.
CUGCACUGAUGCUCAGAGUGAAGUCAAGGCCAUUCCCUGCUCCACUUCCACUCAGUCUGGAGGAGAUUCCUGAAAAUCUGUCUGAUGUUAAGUAGAUCAGAGCUUUGGGAGCUUCUCCAGCUUUCUGAUGGUACCAGGCCAGCAGACCCUGAGGAGAGAAGAAACUCUGAACAUUAGAUGGUGAGGUGAAACUCGGCUACACUCUGAAUGAUUUUCACGUGACAGAAAAAUGAUUUUCCUCACCCUGAGUGAAGCAGAGGAGAGUCCAGAUGAGGACGCAGAGCACAGUCAUGUUUUUGAUGAGGAGGAUUUCUGUGGCGUCUGUUGUGAUGAAGGACAGCUGUCAGUCAUGCAGUGUUCAACUGUCAGGACUAUAAACUCUCCCAGAGCACUGGAGCAUGGUGCUGCUGAUGCAAAGCAGCUCACUGUGGAAAUACUCAGACUGACUCCAAGUGGGACUCGAUUACUCUCGUGGAUCUAUCAGAUAGCACAGGAUUCAUCAGCAGUGUUUUCUGCAUUUUGCAUCUAUUUUCUUUGUUUUUUACAUAGAGAAAGUAGAUAAUUUGGCAUAUGUACCGCAAUAACAUAACAUCACUUUCCUGUGAGCUGAACUCAGUCACAUCACAUUUUUGUUUAGCUCCUUUACUGAACCUGUCCUCACAUGUUCCAUUUUUAAAUCAGGAACAAUCUGAAGGAUUAAAGUAAAUGUACUCUUUAAAUCUGCUGCAGAAUUAAAAGGAUUCAGGACAGUGUGACUGGAGAUCAGUUCUUAGUGUUUCUGACAAAUCUGUGAAUUUUAAAAAUGUCCCACUUUGUGUUUGACCUCAGUUUGAAUUGAAACUGUCUGAGAAUAUUUAUCUUGUUUAAAUCUGGCUUAUGUUGAAAUAUUCUCACUGGUUAGAUUUAGCAGAUAAUGUCUUUAUCAGUGAAAUGAUCAGCUGGUGAUAGUUUAACAGUAACUAUGAUUGUAGAAAUGCACCAAAUGAAAUGAUUAAAAUGUUGAAUCUAAAUAACUGAA